This 485-nucleotide ribosomal RNA is filed under the name uncultured soil bacterium. RNAcentral describes it as "bacterial SSU rRNA". It matches the Rfam family "Bacterial small subunit ribosomal RNA", at positions 26 to 498 of the family's 1533-position model. The record is from RNAcentral.
AGGACGAACGCUGGCGGCGCGCUUAACACAUGCAAGUCGAGCGAGAACCGGGGCUUCGGCCCCGGGGACAGCGGCGAACGGGUGAGUAACACGUGGGUAAUCAACCCUCGGCACCGGGAUAGCCCGAGGAAACUCGGAUUAAUACCGGAUGGCCCCUCCGACUCUCGAGUCGGUCGGGAAAGGUAGCUUAGGCCUCUGGCCGGGGACGAGCCCGCGGCGGAUUAGCUUGUUGGUGGGGUAAUGGCCUACCAAGGCAACGAUCCGUAGCUGGUCUGAGAGGACGAUCAGCCACACUGGGACUGAGACACGGCCCAGACUCCUACGGGAGGCAGCAGUGGGGAAUCUUGCCCAAUGGGCGAAAGCCUGAGGCAGCGACGCCGCGUGGAGGGAAGAAGGCCUCGGUUGUAACCUCUUUCUAGGAGGACGAAGACUACUACGGUUAAGUAGCCAGAGGUGACGGUACCGUCCACGAAGAAGACCCGGAC